UCUGUGUUGCCACUUGUGGUGUGUGU
This 26-nucleotide small RNA is filed under the name Bombyx mori (domestic silkworm). Its description in RNAcentral is "ovarian small RNA-30056". The record is from RNAcentral. Lineage: Eukaryota; Metazoa; Arthropoda; Insecta; Lepidoptera; Bombycidae.